UACGUAGGGUGCAAGCGUUGUCCGGAAUUAUUGGGCGUAAAGAGCUCGUAGGCGGUCUGUCGCGUCGGCUGUGAAAUCCCGGAGCUCAACUCCGGGUCUGCAGUCGAUACGGGCAAACUGGAGUACUACAGGGGAGAUUGGAAUUCCUGGUGUAGCGGUGAAAUGCGCAGAUAUCAGGAGGAACACCGGUGGCGAAGGCGGGUCUCUGGGCAGUAACUGACGCUGAGGAGCGAAAGCGUGGGGAGCGAACAGG
RNAcentral lists this ribosomal RNA (253 nucleotides) under uncultured bacterium. RNAcentral describes it as "partial 16S ribosomal RNA". It matches the Rfam family "Bacterial small subunit ribosomal RNA", at positions 524 to 776 of the family's 1533-position model. The record is from RNAcentral.